GAUGAACGCUGGCGGCGUGCCUAAUACAUGCAAGUCGAGCGAACGGACGAGAAGCUUGCUUCUCUGAUGUUAGCGGCGGACGGGUGAGUAACACGUGGAUAACCUACCUAUAAGACUGGGAUAACUUCGGGAAACCGGAGCUAAUACCGGAUAAUAUUUUGAACCGCAUGGUUCAAAAGUGAAAGACGGUCUUGCUGUCACUUAUAGAUGGAUCCGCGCUGCAUUAGCUAGUUGGUAAGGUAACGGCUUACCAAGGCAACGAUGCAUAGCCGACCUGAGAGGGUGAUCGGCCACACUGGAACUGAGACACGGUCCAGACUCCUACGGGAGGCAGCAGUAGGGAAUCUUCCGCAAAGGGCGAAAGCCUGACGGAGCAACGCCGCGUGAGUGAUGAAGGUCUUCGGAUCGUAAAACUCUGUUAUUAGGGAAGAAUAUAUGUGUAAGUAACUGUGCACAUCUUGACGGUACCUAAUCAGAAAGCCACGGCUAACUACGUG
This 497-nucleotide ribosomal RNA is filed under the name uncultured bacterium. Its description in RNAcentral is "partial 16S ribosomal RNA". It matches the Rfam family "Bacterial small subunit ribosomal RNA", at positions 28 to 507 of the family's 1533-position model. The record is from RNAcentral.